Unclassified non-coding RNA from Cavia aperea (Brazilian guinea pig), 98 nucleotides. It matches the Rfam family "Y RNA". Rfam says of the family: Y RNAs are components of the Ro ribonucleoprotein particle (Ro RNP), in association with Ro60 and La proteins. Lineage: Eukaryota; Metazoa; Chordata; Mammalia; Rodentia; Caviidae. The record is from Ensembl.
GGCUGGUCCAAUGGCAGUGGGUUAUCAGAACUUAUUAACAUUAGUGUCACUAAAGUUGGUAUACCACCCCCCCCACUGCUAAAUUUGACUGACUUUUA